This 446-nucleotide ribosomal RNA is filed under the name uncultured bacterium. Its description in RNAcentral is "SSU rRNA". It matches the Rfam family "Bacterial small subunit ribosomal RNA", at positions 26 to 518 of the family's 1533-position model. The record is from RNAcentral.
AGAGCGAACGCUGGCGGCAGGCUUAACACAUGCAAGUCGAGCGGGCGUAGCAAUACGUCAGCGGCAGACGGGUGAGUAACGCGUGGGAACGUACCUUUUGGUUCGGAACAACACAGGGAAACUUGUGCUAAUACCGGAUAAGCCCUUACGGGGAAAGAUUUAUCGCCAAAAGAUCGGCCCGCGUCUGAUUAGCUAGUUGGUGAGGUAACGGCUCACCAAGGCGACGAUCAGUAGCUGGUCUGAGAGGAUGAUCAGCCACAUUGGGACUGAGACACGGCCCAAACUCCUACGGGAGGCAGCAGUGGGAAUAUUGGACAAUGGGCGCAAGCCUGAUCCAGCCAUGCCGCGUGAGUGAUGAAGGCCCUAGGGUUGUAAAGCUCUUUUGUGCGGGAAGAUAAUGACGGUACCGCAAGAAUAAGCCCGGCUAACUUCGUGCCAGCAGCCGC